GUUUGAAAAAAUGCAUUGAUAUCAAAAAACCGCGUGAGAAUUCCGAGUGGAGUUCCGGCUAUAACUGGGAAAAAUACAUAUGGAAUGGUGAGCGUUCCAAGCAUAAAAUCACCAACAAGACCCCUGAAAUUAUUAGAAAU
This is a non-coding RNA of Caenorhabditis elegans, 140 nucleotides long. The record is from Ensembl. NCBI's taxonomy places the organism in Eukaryota, Metazoa, Nematoda, Chromadorea, Rhabditida, Rhabditidae.